Molecule: ribosomal RNA, 434 nt
Filed under: uncultured Lachnospiraceae bacterium
Lineage: Bacteria; Bacillati; Bacillota; Clostridia; Lachnospirales; Lachnospiraceae
Description: partial 16S ribosomal RNA
Rfam family: Bacterial small subunit ribosomal RNA
Source: RNAcentral
ACGGAAGGCAGCAGUGGGGAAUAUUGGACAAUGGAGGCAACUCUGAUCCAGCGACGCCGCGUGAGUGAAGAAGUAUUUCGGUAUGUAAAGCUCUAUCAGCAGGGAAGAUGAUGACGGUACCUGACUAAGAAGCCCCGGCUAACUACGUGCCAGCAGCCGCGGUAAUACGUAGGGGGCAAGCGUUAUCCGGAUUUACUGGGUGUAAAGGGAGCGUAGGCGGCUGUGCAAGUCAGAAGUGAAAGCCCGGGGCUUAACUCCGGGACUGCUUUUGAAACUGCAUGGCUCGAGUGCAGGAGAGGUAAGCGGAAUUCCUAGUGUAGCGGUGAAAUGCGUAGAUAUUAGGAAGAACACCGGUGGCGAAGGCGGCUUACUGGACUGAGACUGACGCUGAGGCUCGAAAGCGUGGGGAGCAAACAGGAUUAGAUACCCUGGUA